This 87-nucleotide transfer RNA is filed under the name Bacteroidetes bacterium HGW-Bacteroidetes-21. Its description in RNAcentral is "tRNA-Leu". It matches the Rfam family "tRNA". From Rfam's summary of the family: Transfer RNA (tRNA) molecules are approximately 80 nucleotides in length. Their secondary structure includes four short double-helical elements and three loops (D, anti-codon, and T loops). Lineage: Bacteria; Pseudomonadati; Bacteroidota. The record is from RNAcentral.
GCCCGGAUGGCGGAAUUGGUAGACGCGCUGGUCUCAAAAACCAGUAGGGUUAUUCCUGUGCCGGUUCGAUUCCGGCUCCGGGUACAA